Molecule: unclassified non-coding RNA, 484 nt
Filed under: uncultured Glomus
Lineage: Eukaryota; Fungi; Glomeromycota; Glomeromycetes; Glomerales; Glomeraceae
Also listed under: 1 other name
Description: SSU rRNA
Rfam family: Eukaryotic small subunit ribosomal RNA
Source: RNAcentral
AGCAGCCGCGGUAAUUCCAGCUCCAAUAGCGUAUAUUAAAGUUGUUGCAGUUAAAAAGCUCGUAGUUGAAUUUUGGGUCUGGCCGGGCGGUCCGCCCUCUGGGUGAGCACUGUUCCGACGCCGGGCCUAUCCUUCUGGUGAGUCGGCAUGUCCUUUAUUGGGUGUGCCGGGGAACCAGGACCAUUACCUUGAAAAAAUUAGAGUGUUCAAAGCAGGCGUAUGCUCGGAUACAUUAGCAUGGAAUAAUGAAAUAGGACGCGUGGUGCUAUUUUGUUGGUUUCUAGAACCGCCGUAAUGAUUAAUAGGGAUAGUUGGGGGCAUUAGUAUUCAAUUGUCAGAGGUGAAAUUCUUGGAUUUAUUGAAGACUAACUUCUGCGAAAGCAUUUGCCAAGGAUGUUUUCAUUAAUCAAGAACGAAAGUUAGGGGAUCGAAGACGAUCAGAUACCGUCGUAGUCUUAACCAUAAACUAUGCCGACUAGGAAUC